Molecule: long non-coding RNA, 539 nt
Organism: Achroia grisella
Lineage: Eukaryota; Metazoa; Arthropoda; Insecta; Lepidoptera; Pyralidae
Exons: 2
Source: RefSeq, a predicted model, not a curated record
GUCACGUGGGGCAAGUGUGCGCAGCGGGUAAGUGUACGCACUCGAAGUAUUUCAAAAACGGUUUAUAGGUACGAACUGAUAACACCCCUCCUCAUUAGCGCACAAAAGGCUAUACUUAGUGCAACUUUUUCACUGUCCGCCGGUGAACCAUUUUGUUUCCGUAAAGUUUAAUUAUACAUAAAAAAUGCCUCGAUUAUAAAAGAAAUGCCGGAUAGAAGUGUUGUCACAGAGGAACAGCUAGAAGCUGUUAAAAGAUUAAUUUCGGAGGUUGGUAGCACACGACAGUGUGGCACCCGCAAUAAUGAGUGUACCUUCGUCUAGGAAUGAAUAUGUACGACUGUCAUCCAUCCAAGAAAUACCGAAGUUGGCCUUAGGCAUUUCUUGGAUGAAUGACUGUGAUUCAAAAUCGGCGAAAGAAAGGCAAAAAGUCAAUCAUUGAUACUGUAAGUCCUUAUAAAGUAGAAUUGGAAAAACAAAAAACAAGAGGAAGAAUAAAUUGCCAAAAAAGAAGAUACGACUUGAUCUGAAAAUAAAUAAAA